This is a long non-coding RNA of Fukomys damarensis (Damara mole-rat), 759 nucleotides long. RefSeq lists it as uncharacterized. The record is from RefSeq and is a predicted model, not a curated record. NCBI's taxonomy places the organism in Eukaryota, Metazoa, Chordata, Mammalia, Rodentia, Bathyergidae. The transcript has 3 exons.
GGUUGGCUUCUUCUGCGGCAGCUGCAGUGCAGGUCCUGGUGUCAGGCCCUGAGCAGAGCAUCAGCAACUUCAUGCCUUGGCAGCUUUCCGGGUGGCAGCCUGGGCACCGCGGCCCCCGGCCAAACGGCAGCUUAUUAAUGUUGCUUCAGAAGGCAAGAUAUAAAGUCUAUGCUGCUUGGAGAUAAAAGGACUUAAAGCAGGUCUCCACACAGAUGGCUCACCAGUCGAUGCUAAGGACACAGGACCCAAACAUUGCUGAAACUUCCUUCAUAAGGAAAUCACUCUCCAGAACCAACUGUCCAUCUGGAUCUUCACCAGGUUCAGAGAGUUCCUAAAAAACUGCUCCCCGAUCUAUGUUGGAUGGCUCCGCACCCUUGUCCGGUUCCACUAUGUUGGAUGGCUCCGCACCCUUGUCCGGUUCCACAGAUAACCAGUUGGGUCUCUGAGGCCUGGCUCCAGGGAUCCCUUUGUCAGUUCACACCAGAUAAAAUUGAGACUUUCACUUUCCUUUUACUCUUCAUUAUUUCUAAAAUGACUCACCUCAGUUCUUAGAGUCUCCCCUCCACUAAAAUCUGGCCUCAGUUCCCCUCCUCACUGACCAACCCGGAGGUUUAAGUUUUUCUUACAGAUAACUCCAAUGACCGUCAGCUCACCCAUGUCCAACGACAGCACAGCCAACUGCACAUCAGGCUAACCCCCGGCCCCUAGGUUGAUUCGUGGCCCUAAUUCAGCAGGAAGUAGAUAUAGAAGACAGACUCU